CCUGUUUGACAGGAGUGACGGGCGAUAUGUACAUACUAAAUUUUUAUUUUAUUUUAAAACUUUAAUUUUAAAUUACUUUUAAGUCCGAUGUCGCAUUUCGUUUUUUAGUGUACCCUUCUUUUCAAACAAUGUAUCCCACAAUUCUCUAACGUUUUAUCUUUAUCUUGAUUUGUUUAUUUCUUCUUUUUAGGCUUCAAAUAGACUAGCUAAUCUCUUUCUUACAAUGAUAUAAAAAAUUAAACCGUUAGCUUAUUUAAUCGUGGGUUAUCGAUUACGCAGCAGGAUCCCCUACUAGAUAUUAGUACCGCCAAUAUAGUUGGGUUUCUCUUCUUUAAAUACUCUCCCUUGUUCUUUUAAAA
This 359-nucleotide ribosomal RNA is filed under the name Stenacis thunbergii. RNAcentral's name for it is "partial small subunit ribosomal RNA". The record is from RNAcentral. Lineage: Eukaryota; Metazoa; Arthropoda; Arachnida; Trombidiformes; Eriophyidae.